UUCUACAUGAUAGAGGUCUCUCUCUCUCUCUCUCUCUCUCUCUCUCUCUCUCUGUGUGUGUGUGUGUGUGUGAGAGAGAGAGAGAGAGAGAGGGAGGAAGGGUGUCUUGUCUCUGUUCU
Molecule: non-coding RNA, 119 nt
Organism: Podarcis lilfordi (Lilford's wall lizard)
Lineage: Eukaryota; Metazoa; Chordata; Lepidosauria; Squamata; Lacertidae
Source: the annotation of a GenBank genome assembly